This is an RNA transcript of Electrophorus electricus (electric eel), 775 nucleotides long. It is a transcript of the gene named N-alpha-acetyltransferase 38, NatC auxiliary subunit, with no coding region annotated. Lineage: Eukaryota; Metazoa; Chordata; Actinopteri; Gymnotiformes; Gymnotidae. The record is from RefSeq and is a predicted model, not a curated record.
GACAAUUGUAAAUCCUAACUACGUGGAUUUGUUGUGCUACAGUUCACAACACAUUUUCCAGCUAGCUAACCCUGUACAAAAGAUUAACGGUAACACAAAUGGCAGCUGACAACGAGGAGAAUGGCACAGAAAUGCAAAUCGAGCCAGAGGAAUCUGCAUAUUCAUUAGCUCGACAUAAGCUGGAGCAUCUCCUAAACAAGAGCAUGAGGAUACGGAUGACAGAUGGCCGCACACUGGUUGGGCUCUUUCUGUGCACAGACCGUGACUGCAACGUGAUUCUGGGCUCAGCGCAGGAGUUCCUGAAGUCCACAGACUCUUUUUCACAAGCUGAACCCAGAGUUCUGGGUUUGGCUAUGAUUCCUGGUCAUCACGUGGUGUCUAUUCAAGUGGAAUCAGAGAAUUUGCAGUCCGGCACCCAUGGGCUUUGAGGUCACCCAUGGAAGAGUUAAAGGAAUCGUGCAAAGAACCAUUGGCAUGCAUUUAUAAUUGCUGCUCCUGCAGUGCAGAAGUGAAAAUGCCUAAGGGGCAGAAAAUGGAAAGCUCAAACGCACACAACAAGCAGCAUCCUCCUAUCAAGGCCAGUGUGGCUGAACACCAGCCGAUAUACAGCCCCUCUCCUAUCUCAAACCUGAAAACUCACACAAACAUUAUGGACACAAAAAGUUUUUGUUUUUUUUUUCCAAAUUAUUUAGGCUUCUGAUACUAGAUACAUUUGAAGAGUUUUGCCUACUGUUUAACAUUUGAGAAAGUUUGGAUUUUAUAAUCUCUGUUGUAA